RNAcentral lists this transfer RNA (73 nucleotides) under Actinomycetota bacterium. Its description in RNAcentral is "tRNA-Thr". It matches the Rfam family "tRNA". From Rfam's summary of the family: Transfer RNA (tRNA) molecules are approximately 80 nucleotides in length. Lineage: Bacteria; Bacillati; Actinomycetota. The record is from RNAcentral.
GCCGCCUUAGCUCAGCUGGUAGAGCACCACUCUCGUAAAGUGGGGGCCGUCGGUUCGAGUCCGACAGGCGGCU